This 424-nucleotide ribosomal RNA is filed under the name uncultured prokaryote. RNAcentral describes it as "bacterial SSU rRNA". It matches the Rfam family "Bacterial small subunit ribosomal RNA", at positions 355 to 796 of the family's 1533-position model. The record is from RNAcentral.
UGGGGAAUAUUGGACAAUGGGGGCAACCCUGAUCCAGCCAUGCCGCGUGCGUGAAGAAGGCCUUAGGGUUGUAAAGCGCUUUCAGCGGGGACGAUGAUGACGGUACCCGCAGAAGAAGCCCCGGCUAACUCCGUGCCAGCAGCCGCGGUAAUACGGAGGGGGCAAGCGUUGUUCGGAAUUACUGGGCGUAAAGGGCGCGUAGGCGGCACAUCAAGUCAGUUGUUAAAGACUGCAGCUCAACUGUGGGCGAGCAACUGAAACUGAUGAACUAGAGUGCGGUAGGGGUAGAGGGAAUUCCCAGUGUAGCGGUGAAAUGCGUAGAUAUUGGGAAGAACACCAGUGGCGAAGGCGCUCUACUGGGCCGCAACUGACGCUGAGGGACGAAAGCUAGGGGAGCGAAAGGGAUUAGAUACCCCCGUAGUCC